RNAcentral lists this ribosomal RNA (435 nucleotides) under uncultured bacterium. Its description in RNAcentral is "partial 16S ribosomal RNA". It matches the Rfam family "Bacterial small subunit ribosomal RNA", at positions 29 to 507 of the family's 1533-position model. The record is from RNAcentral.
AGCGAACGCUGGCGGCAGGCUUAACACAUGCAAGUCGAGCGGGCACUUUCGGGUGUCAGCGGCGGACGGGUGAGUAACGCGUGGGAACGUGCCCUCUGGUUCGGAAUAACUCAGGGAAACUUGAGCUAAUACCGGAUACGCCCUUUUGGGGAAAGGCUUGCUGCCGGAGGAUCGGCCCGCGUCUGAUUAGCUAGUUGGUGAGGUAACGGCUCACCAAGGCGACGAUCAGUAGCUGGUCUGAGAGGAUGAUCAGCCACACUGGGACUGAGACACGGCCCAGACUCCUACGGGAGGCAGCAGUGGGGAAUAUUGGGCAAUGGGCGCAAGCCUGAUCCAGCCAUGCCGCGUGAGUGAUGAAGGCCUUGGGAUUGUAAAGCUCUUUUAUCCGGGACGAUAAUGACGGUACCGGAGGAAUAAGCCCCGGCUAACUUCGUG